This 501-nucleotide ribosomal RNA is filed under the name uncultured bacterium. RNAcentral's name for it is "partial 16S ribosomal RNA". It matches the Rfam family "Bacterial small subunit ribosomal RNA", at positions 30 to 523 of the family's 1533-position model. The record is from RNAcentral.
AUUGAACGCUGGCGGCAGGCUUAACACAUGCAAGUCGAGCGGGAGAAGGUAGCUUGCUACCGGACCUAGCGGCGGACGGGUGAGUAAUGCUUAGGAAUCUGCCUAUUAGUGGGGGACAACAUCUCGAAAGGGAUGCUAAUACCGCAUACGUCCUACGGGAGAAAGCAGGGGAUCUUCGGACCUUGCGCUAAUAGAUGAGCCUAGGUCGGAUUAGCUAGUUGGUGGGGUAAAGGCCUACCAAGGCGACGAUCUGUAGCGGGUCUGAGAGGAUGAUCCGCCACACUGGGACUGAGACACGGCCCAGACUCCUACGGGAGGCAGCAGUGGGGAAUAUUGGACAAUGGGGGGAACCCUGAUCCAGCCAUGCCGCGUGUGUGAAGAAGGCCUUAUGGUUGUAAAGCACUUUAAGCGAGGAGGAGGCUACUCUAGUUAAUACCUAGGGAUAGUGGACGUUACUCGCAGAAUAAGCACCGGCUAACUCUGUGCCAGCAGCCGCGGUAA